RNAcentral lists this ribosomal RNA (479 nucleotides) under uncultured bacterium. RNAcentral describes it as "bacterial SSU rRNA". It matches the Rfam family "Bacterial small subunit ribosomal RNA", at positions 1 to 507 of the family's 1533-position model. The record is from RNAcentral.
AGUCACUGACGUAGUUUGAUCCUGGCUCAGAAUGAACGCUGGCGGCAGGCCUAACACAUGCAAGUCGAGCGAGGUAGCAAUACCUAGCGGCGGACGGGUGAGUAACGCGUGGGAAUAUGUCCCUUUGGUACGGAAUAGUCUCGGGAAACUGGGGGUAAUACCGUAUGUGCUCUUUUGCUGUAGUGGUGAGAGAGGAAAGAUUUAUCGCCAAAGGAUUAGCCCGCGUUGGAUUAGGUAGUUGGUGGGGUAAUGGCCUACCAAGCCGACGAUCCAUAGCUGGUUUGAGAGGAUGAUCAGCCACACUGGGACUGAGACACGGCCCAGACUCCUACGGGAGGCAGCAGUGGGGAAUCUUAGACAAUGGGCGCAAGCCUGAUCUAGCCAUGCCGCGUGAUCGAUGAAGGCCUUAGGGUUGUAAAGAUCUUUCAGGUGGGAAGAUAAUGACUGUACCACCAGAAGAAGCCCCGGCUAACUCCGUG